AGGACGAACGCUGGCGGCGUGCUUAACACAUGCAAGUCGAGCGGAAAGGCCCUUCGGGGUACUCGAGCGGCGAACGGGUGAGUAACACGUGAGUAAUCUGCCCCUAGCUCUGGGAUAGCUCCGGGAAACCGGGAUUAAUACCAGAUACGACCACUUUAGACAUCUGCUGUGGUGGAAAGAAUUUCGGCUAGGGAUGAGCUCGCGGCCUAUCAGCUUGUGGUGAGGUAACGCUCACCAAGGCGACGACGGGUAGCCGG
Molecule: ribosomal RNA, 257 nt
Filed under: uncultured bacterium
Lineage: Bacteria
Description: partial small subunit ribosomal RNA
Rfam family: Bacterial small subunit ribosomal RNA
Source: RNAcentral